Long non-coding RNA from Anguilla anguilla (European eel), 2591 nucleotides. RefSeq lists it as uncharacterized. The transcript is spliced from 5 exons. NCBI's taxonomy places the organism in Eukaryota, Metazoa, Chordata, Actinopteri, Anguilliformes, Anguillidae. The record is from RefSeq and is a predicted model, not a curated record.
GAGACGCUCAUUGGAUGUUGUACAGUUAGCCUACGUUAGCUGGCAAAGUUACCGACAAUUUAAUUCUCUCUCGGGGUAGGAAUUUGAUGAUUUUAUCUACUUGUAGCGUUCCCUUUUAAUACACCAAAUAGUAUAACUAUGUCAGCGUCUCUCGAUUGAAUACAAUCUCAGCUAUUUCUGUUUUUACCGCUAAUAAAUUAUUUUUAUUAAUUUAUUUUUUUGGUGUGACGUGCUCUACCCGUAAACGAACGGUAAGCUUUAUCCUCUAUCGGUCGCUCCAAAUGCUUUUCAAGGGACAUCACUUGUAACAAAGAUGUAGCUACUUUGUGCGUUUAACGUUCUAAAUUAAAUUUACUCUAAAGGUUGAGCGGUUGGAACCAGAGCUUAUCCUAUGGCUGCCUGACAUAAUAAUGACAUAAGGAGUGAUAGCCUAGUUACAGUACAAAACGGGGCUUCGCCAUCGGCGAAAAUACGCCAGUAAUAAAACAUAGCCUAUUUCGGAUAAUAUAACAGAAAAUUUUGUCAAAUUCUUAAAGUUGGCAGAUUAUUUGGCAAACCACCAAGGGCUUAGGCUAUUCCUGUCGCUACAUGGUGAUUUUAGUAAGUCCUAGCACGACAUAAUAAACUAAUAAUAAUAAUAUUAACAGCAACAACAACAACGAUAGUAAUGCCAACAGCAUCAUUAAAAACGAGCAGACGGUCGUAGGCUUUGUAGAAUAAUUAUACGUAGGCAGGUAUCUGUCCUGUCUGCUGUAAAUAUGUGUAAUGCAUGGAGCUACAAAAGUGUGGUUUGUGCUACACAGACAGAAAUGUUCACAUGCGACGGUCGCCUAAAUAUGGAAUUGAUGAAUGGGGUUGAAGGUUCUAUGUUUUUUUCCCCUUUAAGAGCGGGGAGUUCUGUCAGGAGGCAGAGGUGCCGAGCCGAGCCCAGCGGCAGUAUUUCAGCCAAUUAAAAACCGCCCUCCCCCGUUCACCACUCGGAGAAAGGGCGGGCUCAAGAACUUGAGCGAUGUGUGCGGUUUCCAAGGCAACCACUUGCCUUGACCUCCCCUGUAACCCCCAUCCUCCUCGGGCAAGAGACAUGUUUCCAUGGAGAUAAUUGGAUCUCGGAGUACUUUCUAGUUCCCGUAAAGUGUGGUGUUAGAACGUCGGAAAGAGGAUUUCUAUAGCGAAUACAGAAGUGUCAUGUCACUACAUCGCAUUCUGGCUAAUGUUUGCAUGGAUUCUGUUCCCUUACUGCUUUCCCUGGAGUGAGAUAUUUUGUCACAUAAUUUGUGACGUGAAACAACUGAACAAAACAGGAACUCUGCAAGGGAGGACAGACGAGGAACCAAAAUGGAACCGAAAAGCCCUCUGCCCAACCCCAAUGGAACGUUCUCUUCCUGUGACCUGUUGAGACGAAUCUGCGUGCCUGGGAGUGCAGGACAUCCAGGAAACCGAUUCAGGCACUGGGAAUGUUGACAUGAACUUUCCAGGAAUGCUCUAGGACGCAUUCACUAAUUGGGGAAGUUCCGGAGAAAACGCUAAGCUUCUCUUUGAUGACAAGGCAAUCGAGAUCUUCACUCUGGGCUUCCCUUUGAGAAAGCUUAACUCCCAGCCCCCUGGUCUCAACACCAGCCCAUCAGUCCUGCCACCUAGAGCGCCCCAACACAUCCGCAGGCAUGAAUUAAACACAGGGAAGUGGUCUGGGGGCCAGGUUUCAUUGCAGGGUUACAGUGCUGAGUGCAUUCUGUUGUUCUAACAUAAAUGGGUUUACUCACUCUGAGUGCGUGUGUGUGUGUGUGUGUGUGAGCCUGUGUGUUUGUGCGCAUGCAUAUAUGCAUGUGCUUUUGUAAGAGAGUUUGUUUCAGUUUUUUAUGUACAUCUGUGUUCAUGUGUUUACAUUUUCAUAUAAACAUAGCAGACUUCUCUCUCAUUCAGAGUAUCCUACACAGCUUUUGACAUACGUUUCUGACACGUAAUCAAUUUAUAUAGCUGGAUAUUUACUGAUGCAAUUCCGGUUAAGUACCUUACUCAAGGGCACAAGGGCAUUGGCUCCACCUAGGAACUAAACCUGCAACCUCUGAAUAACAAUCCCAGUACCCUGGACACUGCACUACACUGCUGCCAUGUUUGUAUGUACAAUGGGCCAGUGGCCUGCAAGCAUACAGUAUGUGUGCUUACAAGUGUAUUUGUACAUGCGUGCAUAUGCACUUUUGCCUGUAUCUGUUAUGCGUUUAUAUUGUGCUGUAGCUGGUAACAGUGAAAACAGUAAUGAGGCUUCUGUGCAUGUUUUUGCGUGUGUCCAUAUCAGUAUUCUGUGUUUUUUGGUAUACCUUGUAAAUGUGUUUGUGUGUGUAUGUGUGAGUGAGUAUGUGUGUGCAUAAUUUGCAUGCGUGUAUGUGCACAUGUAUGUUUGUAUGUGUUUAUAUGUAAUGUGUCUGUAUAUUUGUGUCAGUGUUCACAGGCGUGUACGUGUAACGCACGUGUGCAGUGUGCAUGCGUUCACAGACUCAGGUGCAUAUUUACACUCUGAAUCUGCAGCUUUAGUGCCUCCAGUGGUUGAUUUAUGUCUCUUUGUAAGUAUCCAUUAGGCGCUGUCUGGCAGUUUG